UUCAGUGCCGGGCAGAAGGGAACCUGCUGUGGGAAGAGCAGAGCCAGCUUUGCAUGGGAACACCUCGUCCAAGGACAGCAUCCAGAGAAACAGGGUGAGAGAUCCAGUGCACGUGCAUGCAGGCAAUGAAAAAGAUUCCUGUGUGUUAAAUAUAGCACCAGGCACAGCUUUCCUGUGAGGCAGCUCCGUUUCAGGCUGCAGCAGAAACAUCGGGCACCACACCGUGGAAAAUAAAGGACAGAGAAUCACCAGCAUUGAGUUAGACACCACCCAGAGAGAGCUUCACCACCACUGAAAGCAGAGAUCCAGAGCAAAGGAAGAUUUUUGUGGCACCUGGGAGGAGAUGGGAAGUUUAUUCCACCCCUGUGUUGUGGGAUUCCG
Ficedula albicollis (Collared flycatcher) is the source of this 381-nucleotide long non-coding RNA. RefSeq lists it as uncharacterized. The transcript has 3 exons. Lineage: Eukaryota; Metazoa; Chordata; Aves; Passeriformes; Muscicapidae. The record is from RefSeq and is a predicted model, not a curated record.